This is a long non-coding RNA of Hemicordylus capensis (graceful crag lizard), 645 nucleotides long. RefSeq lists it as uncharacterized. The transcript is spliced from 3 exons. NCBI's taxonomy places the organism in Eukaryota, Metazoa, Chordata, Lepidosauria, Squamata, Cordylidae. The record is from RefSeq and is a predicted model, not a curated record.
GUGCAAAGGGGCAUAGCCUUGAGCUCUGAAGAGCCUGAGCAAGCUCUUCUGCAUCAUUUCAGGCCGGGCUUGCUGCAAAUGCUGCCUGAAAUAAAUGGCAAGUACUCGCUGGGGCGGGGUUCCCAGUAGCUCAGCCGAGGCCCAAUGUUCUACGCUGAUCCUUGUUCUGCAAGUCACUGCCCAUCCUUGUAGAAUCCAGUGGUUAAGUAUACCAAAGGAUCUGUUACAGAUCACUCCAUCUCACGGCUUGUGCAGGAAACAAAAACACAGAUCUGAUUAUUAUGGUGUCUCAGAGCAGAGCCACUUCCCAGAGCAGCCCUUGAUCCAAGAAAAGAAGCAAUUCCAUGCAAUCUAGAACUAUCAGACCACUGUGAUUUUCACUGUUGAUUCUAAAUGGAAUGUAGAUUCCAUUCUUAUGCAUUUUGUCUAAAUGUACAAAAUAUCUAUGGUAUAUAAUUAUGUGCCUUAAAGAGUUCAAUUUAUUGUUUAAAAAUAGAAGAGAUAUUAUAGCAAAGAGCAUUGUGGUAAAAUGAUUUAACUUUGAAUUAUAUUGGGUGGGGGGAAUGCUUAGAAAGUCUACAGAAAAUGUUAAUCGCAAUAAUACUUGUGAUCGUAUUUUCUACUGUUAAGUGAGCAAAAAUUGUG